GUUGCCUACUCCCUGACUGCACACGUGGUGACGAAGAAAAGCAAAGAAAACGGAAGAUGGCGCCUCCAUGUUGAACAUGCCUGGCUCCCAGAUUUUGCUAGUAAAAGACAAAGAAGCAGAAGAAAAUAAUAAAGAGGAGUCAGUGUGAAACCUCUGCGGAAGUGUGGAGUAAGCAGCGUGAUGUGCAGAAGUAGCUUUUAACAUGACCAAAACUUGACUUAAAUGUAUUGCCCUCUUAAAUUUUGUAUGAUUACCUCCUAACUCAUUUUGUUGCCUAUCUGUGAGUACAAAAGCACUAUAGUUCUGCACUGACAAUAGGUAGUCUUUUCAAUUUUGGUCUUUCAAAUGAUUGGGUCAUGGCAUCUCAUUGUGGUUUUAAUUUGCAUUUCCCUGGUAACUAAUGAUAGUGAGUAUCGUUUUCUGUCCUUAUUUGACAUCUGUUUGUUUUCAUUGCUGAAGUGUCUGCAUAAUCCUUUUGUUUAUAUUUCAAUUAAAUUAUUUGUUUUAUUAUUUAGUUUUGAGAAUUCUUCAUAUAUUCUGGAUACAAGUCUUUUUACAGAUAUGGAAUGUGUAAAUAUUUCUUCAUGAUUGCCUAUCUUCAACAACAAGGUAUCACACUGAUUCAUUACACUGAUGACAUUAUGCUGAUUGUACCUAAUGAGCAAGAAUAGUGACUACUCUGGACUUAUUGGUUAGACAUUUGUGUAACAAAGGAUGGGAAAUUAAUCUGACAAAAAUCAGGAGACUUCUACCUUGGUAAAAUUUCCAGGGCUCCAGUGGUGUGAAACAUAUGAUGAUAUCCCUUUUCAAGUGAAAUCUGGCUCUUCCUACAAUCAAAUGAGAGAAACAUAUUCUACUGGGCCCUUUUGGAUUCUAGAAUUAACAUAUUGCCCUUUUGGUUGUAUUACUUUAUUCCACUUACCUAGUGACCUGAAAAGCUGUUAGUUUUGAAAACGGUACGAAAAAGGAAAGGCUCUAUAAUAGGUCUGGGCUGCUGUGGGAGAUGCUCUGCCUCUUGAGCCAUAUGAUCCCACAGAUCUAAUGGUACUGGAAGGGUGAGAGGCAUAAAGGGAUGCUGUCUGGAGAUGUUGACAUGCCUCUACUGAUGAAUCACAGCACAAGCCCUUUGAAUUUUGAAGCAAAACCUUGCCAUCCUUCAUAGAUAACUAUUUUUCUUUUGAGAAACAGCUCUUGUUCUGCUACUGGCUGGGCAUUAGUAGAGACUGAACACUUAACUAUGGACCACCAAUUUACUAUGUGACAUGAGCUGCAAAUCAUGAACGGAGUGUUUUCUGACCCAAUAAGCUGUAUGAUUUAGGAUACACAGCAACACUCUAACGUCAAAUAGCAGUGAUAUAUACAUGAUUGAGUCUAAGCAGGUUCUGAGGAUAAAAGUGUAUUAUUACAUAAAAAAUGGCCCAAAUGCACAUGGUCCCCACUUCUGCUACACUGCCUUUUCUCUCUUGGCUUGUACCAAUGGACUCCUGAGUUGUUCUCUGUGAGCAUUUGAAAGAGGAAGAGAAGACUGGAGCCUAGAUACAGACAUUUCUAUAGGAUAUGCAGACUCCCCAGAAAGUGCACAGCUGCAUCACUGGACACCCUUUCUAGGACAUGUCUGAAAGAGAGUGAUGAAGGGAAAUCCUCUCAGUGUGCAGAACUUAGAGUGGUGCACUUGGUCACUUACUUUUCUUGGAAGGAGAAAUAGUAAGACUUGUGAUUAUAUAUUGGCUUGUGGGAUGUGGCCAAUGGUUUGGUUGGAUGCUCAAGAACAUGGGAGAGGAAUAAUUGGAAAUUUGGUAACAAGGAAAUUUGGGAAAGAGGUAUGUGGAUAGACAUCUCUGAAUUGGCAAAAAAUGUAUAAAUAUUUGUAUGCUAUGUGAAUUUCAAUCAAAGGAUGACCCCAACAGAGAAGGACGGUAAUCAUAUGGAUAGAAUGAUGUAUUCUGUGGACAUCAGAAAUCCACUUUCUCCAUCCACCCCCAUUAACACUCAAUUGACUCAUGAACACAGUGGCCAUGGUGGCAGGAAUGGAGGAUAGACAAAGUCUCAGAAACAUGGACUUUCACUCACCAAGUUUGUACUGGACAUAGUCACUGCUGAGUGCCUAAUUUCCUAGCAAUGGAUAGCAACAGAGUCAUCAAUUUGUCACCAUUCACCAGGGUGAUCAGCCAGCUACCUGAUGCCAGGCUGAUUACAUUAGACCACUCCCAAAAAGGAAGAGUCAGUGUUUUGUUGUUACUAAAAAAGCUACUUGUGGCUGGGCAUGGUGGCUCAUGCCUGUAAUCCCAACACUUUGGGAGGCCGAGGGCAGUGGACUACCUGAGGUCGGGAGUUCAAGACCAGCCUGACCAACAUGGAGAAAUCCCGUCUCUACUAAAAAUACAAAAUUAGCCAGGCGUGGUGGCACAUGCCUGUAAUCUCAGUUAUGCAGGAGGCUGAGGCAGGAGAAUCGCUUGAACCCAGUAGGCGGAGGUUGCAGUGAGCCAAGAUCACGCCAUUGCACUCCAGCCUAGGCAACAAGAGUGAAACUCUGUCUCAAAAAAAAAAAAAAAAAAUAGCUACUUGCUUUGGAUACACAUUUGCCUCCCAUACACCAAUGCUUUUGUCAAAACUACUGCCCUUGGACUUACAGAGUACUUACACACCUCAUGGUAUUUCACAUAGCAUUGCUUUUGAUCAAGGAACUCACUUCACAGCAAAAGAGGUGAAACACUGAACCCAUUCUCCUGGAAUACACUAGGCCUGCCAUGUUCUCUACUAUCCCAAAGCCACUAAUUUGAUGAAAAAGUAAAUGGCUUUUUGAAGACCCAGUAACAGCAUGGUAUUGUCACAUCAGAGAUGUGGCAGUACCUGUUAGGGCUGGGACAAAGUUUUCCAAAACACUACAUGCUCUGAAUUAGAAUCCUAUAUAUGGCACUGUUUCUGUCAUAGGAUGCUUGGGCCCAGGAAAGGAACUGGUGAAAAUAAGAGUGGGCCACUCACUAUUAGCCCUAAUGAUCUUGUUAGCAAAAUUUUUGCUUCUGGUCCCCUGACGUUAUUUUUCUCCUGGCCUAGAGGUCUUAGUUCCAGAGGAAGGAAUGUUCCACUAGGAGACAGAACAACGAUUCCACCAAAGUGAAAGUUCAUACCACCACCUGGCCACUUUAGGUUCAUCAUUUCUCUGAAUUCCCUAGCAAAAAAAGAAGUAACUGUGCUGGCUUGGGUGGUUGAGAUUUGGGUCACUAUACCAGGUGAAGAACCAUGUCCAACUGAAGUGCUUACUAAAAGCAAUUAGAAUAAAGUAUGGGCAAUGGAAGAAGGUUAUAUAUACCAGCUUUGACCACAUGAACAGUUACAGAAAUAAAGAAUGUAAUUGGCACGAGUAUUUUCUGUUUGUUUUGAACGCAUUUGUGUUUGCGUGUGUGUAUAGUAAAAGUCCUUGUUUUCUUUCUUCGAUUAUUUCAUCAUGUAACAUAAGAUGUAUUGACUUUAUAUCACAGUUUUUAACUAUUGUUAAUUUUGGAUCAUAAUAUUUUAUUUCCCAGAUAUUAAAGGAAAGAGUAAAUAUUAACAAAGAUCUUUACCUCCAAUCCUGUGGAAGAUGCAUUGACAAGUGGUGGGCAGGGGAUGAUUUUAUGCGUCAGCUUGACAAAGCCAGAGAUGCCCAGAUAUCUGGUUAAACCUUAUUUCUGGGUGUGUCUGUGAGGGUAUUUCUAGCAGAUACUUGCAUUUGAAUUGGUGGACUGAGUAAAGCAGAUGGCUCUCCUCAGUGUGGGAGGGCAUCAGUCAAUUUAUUUAGGGCCUGAGUGGCAUAAAAAGACAGGGGCAGGUCAAAUUUGCUCUCUGGCUGACUGAGCUGGCACAUUGAUUUUCUCCUGCCCUCAGCACUCCUGGUUCUCAGAUCUUCAGACUUGGAGUAUAGCUUAUAACAGAUGUAUAUUUUAACUCUUUCCUAACAUCUCUUGAAAUGACAAAAAUGACAAAAAAUAUUAUAUCUAUAAAGAAAUAAUUUGUGUCGGGAAGACAUAAAAUAGUUGGAAUUAUAUUCAAGGACAAACCAGAGAACAAGUACGUGUAGACUAGACAUAUACAAGAAAAAGGCUUCAGAAGAAGUCUGAGUUUCUGAGAGGAUCUCUUUCAUACUCAUCCAACAUGAAGUAUGACUUAACCUGCUACACACGUUGCCACAUGCUCAAAGCUUGAUGUCCACCUUUUCAUUGAAGAAAAAGGCCAAUCAGGGAAGUAGACCUUUAAAAUGGCAAAAAAAAAAAAAAAAAAAAAAAAAAAAAUGGACAUCAGAUGCUCACAUUACCAAUCCAAUCUUUGGGUUAUAACAAUGAACAAACCACCAAAAAGACAGAUAAUUCACAGGAAACCAUCAGUACAUUGAAAAUAUUACAUAGCAAUAAAAAUUUUUAGAAAAGCUACAGACACAUGUAAUAACAUGGAUUCUCUAAGGGAAGG
This 4443-nucleotide long non-coding RNA is filed under the name Homo sapiens (human). RNAcentral's name for it is "non-protein coding lnc-CLDND1-3:2". Lineage: Eukaryota; Metazoa; Chordata; Mammalia; Primates; Hominidae. The record is from RNAcentral.